UAUAUAUAUAUAUAUAUAUAUAUAAAAAAGAUAUUCUUAGUAACAUCUGAGCUGUACUUCAUCACAGCCCAGUGACAGUUCAAGCCUGUUGAGGAAGAAGUGCAUUUGGCCUGCUCAUGCGAAUAAUGCAUGUUUUGGGCUGUGGCAUGAAUAUCUUGGCUGGGGAUCAGGUACAGGUUGGUGAUGAUGAUGUAUGGGUUAAACUACUGUGAACAAGAGCUAAGCUUGUGAGGGCUACAUUUGUGAUCUUCUGGCACACACAGCAAAGUGGAAUGUGCUGGUAAAUUGGGGCGUUUUUGUUAGAAUUGGACUGCGGCUCGUCCCUGUUAGCGUGUCCCUCAGCUGCACUCGCUUCUGCAUAGCUACUGGAAGUAGUGCAUCUGAUGUGACUCAGCCAUAUCUGCUGCUUUCAGACUCCCGAGCAUGGUAUCUAUUUUCUUCUGUCAGUCUCUCUAUCUCUUGCUCUUUCCUGAAUUGCAAGGAUGUCUUGAAAAUACGAGACUGUGCUGAAAAGGCUCUAAAUGUCACGCAGGCAGAUCAAGAGGAGAGAAAGAAAGAGAGAGAGAAAUUGUUUACCUUGCUCUCUUGGUUACUGUGUUCUGGCUGGCGGCCAGUUCACAUGCGCUAAACCUCCGAAAGCAGCCACGUCAGGCACCUGAGUGACAGCUCUCUCACCCUGUAAGGUUGUCUAAGCGCUUUUGAGACAGAAUUCUAUUGGACCAGCUCAAACAAACAGGUAGAGAAGUCCCUGUUGUUGGCCACAAGGUAAUAUUGUCCCUUUUUUUCUUUUAGGUUCUUGAUUAACGAUUAGACGGUAGGACACGGGUCUGCGUGGACACCAGUGGCCCGCAGUGCAGCUGUUACUGCAGUCAACGCCACAGCCUGGCAUGCUGGCUUGUCGUGGUGGGCACCACGGGCAACAAAAUCAUACCUUAGUCAUGCCUUAUAGAUGAGGCAGGCCACGGAAGAGAAUUACCCUGUGGGUGGUUUGCAAAGGGUUUUGGCCUCUGAUGUAUAUAGGAAUGAAAGCUGGUAAUUUUCACUAAUCUGCACAGGUUGUUCAUCAAACCCAUGGCAUGUGUGUGCUUGUGUGCUUUUUUCGGCAUUUUGCAUUUGCCUUUAAUUGUUUAGAGAUUAUAGGUGACAUGGGAACUUGAAGUAGGAAAGACAAACUGUAUCAGGCUUAAUAUUAAGUAUUUGAUAAAUGAGCUUGGUAAAUUCCAUUCUAUAAUUUUCUUGAUCUCUCGUAAGAACUCUAUGUUUACACUAGUUUAAAGUAAUAAAUGUUAUCUACUUUGUUUAGACAUAUUACAUAUUUAGUACAGAAUAAAUUUGUUGUAUUUCAGCUCAAUGUUUUAUCUAUUUAACGAGCUGUUAUGUUUUCCACAUCCUGGUCCCGUUGAUUUGAAUUUUUUUUUCCAGAGGAAAAAAAAAACAACACUGUUCCUUUAAAUCCUUUAUAAACAUUACAUAACACACUGAGGGCCAGGCUACAACAAACAAGCCCAGCAGCGCGAGAGAAAGAGGGGGGCUAAGCUCCAGAAGCAACCAGAUACCUCCAAACAGCAACUGUCACCAAGAUCCUCUGUGCUCCGAGCCCAGGAAACUCCCUUGAACAUUGUCCCAUCCUGAAGAUAAAGCCUUCAGUGUGCCUCUCUGUCCUUCCUCCUAUUGUAAUGUCCAAAUCAAACAUGUAGUGUUUGAGCAGAUCAGAGAAGGGAAGGGAAAUGUUUUUUGGUAACUUAUACCAAUUCCUUCAAUCUUCUUUAAGCAUAAACUGUGUUCAAAGCAGACACUUUACUGAGGGAACGGGAAAAAAACAAGCUAUAGGAGAAAAAUCAGUGGGUUAGGGUGUGGUAGGACAAGUGUCCUUUUACCUGCCAGAAUAUUUGCCACGAUUGGACGUGCUGUAUCGUGAGUUUUGGCAUUCCAAAGCAUUCAGGUAAAUGAUUCAAUCUCAGGUGUGUUAGGCAGUACCUGUCACCACACCUCUGCAGCGUCCUUACAGAAUUCUCCAUUUUCCCUAGUUCACUCCAUUUUAGGAAAAACACAUUCAACAUAUAACCAGCAGCAAAUACAUAAAAGCCAGAAAGCAACAUCUUUUAGUACUCAGUGCCUCAGGUGAGCUAAACUAAUCUUUUCACCUGCUAGGGUUAGCAUUCUUUUGUAAUCUGAUAUGUAGGACAUUUUGCAGGUAGCAUGCUGAAACACACUUGAAUUCAGCGUUGCGAUGUCACCUAGGAGCCAAAGGCACUGCCGUAGUACAGCCUUGCAUUUCAGGCCUUGCCACAAGGUUGUCGGAUUUUGCUGCCAUAGUGAUACAGAUUAUAACAUUGAUUGCUGAUGCUGUUGUGUGUAUGAUGUUGCUGCUGUUGAAUUUCUUAAAGAAGCAGAUGUUGCUGUCAUGUACAGAUUUUUAUAAUAUGUCGAAUUAGGACCUGGUAAAGACCUGGAUUGAAUAGUAUUAUAUCUCAUAAAUGAUCUUUAUUUGGUGAUGUUUUAGGCCCCUGAUCAUAUAAUUCUGAUCCGUUGAUAAAAGUCAUGGUAAGAUCAUGUUCUCACAGGAAUUCUGUUGUUUGGGUUAUUAACUCUAUGGUGAUUUUGGUUGGAAUUUUUUUAUUGUUUACAACU
Molecule: long non-coding RNA, 2631 nt
Organism: Tachysurus fulvidraco (yellow catfish)
Lineage: Eukaryota; Metazoa; Chordata; Actinopteri; Siluriformes; Bagridae
Exons: 2
Source: RefSeq, a predicted model, not a curated record